CUCCCUUCGGGGAGUGGAGAGCGGCGGAAGGGACAGUAACACGUAGAUUACGUAUCCUCGGGUCCGGGAUAACUGUGCGAAAGCACUUGUAAUACCGGAUAACAUCUUCGGAUCAAAGGUGUGAUUCCGCCUGAGGAGCGGUCUGCGUCCUAUUAGUUUGUUGGUGGGGUAAUGGCCUACCAAGGCUUUGAUGGGUAGCGGGUGUGAGAGCAUGACCCGCGUCACUGGGACUGAGACACUGCCCAGACACCUACGGGUGGCUGCAGUCGAGAAUCUUCGGCAAUGGACGAAAGUCUGACCGAGCGACGCCGCGUGCGGGAUGAAGGCCUUCGGGUUGUAAACCGCUGUCAGUGGGGAGGAAGGCUGCGUGAAGAGCGCAGUUUGACCUAUCUUCAGAGGAAGGACGGGCUAAGUUCGUGCCAGCAGCCGCGGUAAGACGAACCGUCCAAACGUUAUUCGGAAUUACUGGGCUUAAAGGGUGCGUAGGCGGUGUUACAAGUCGGGUGUGAAAUCCCUCAGCUUAACUGAGGAACUGCGCCCGAUACUGUAGUGCUAGAGGGAGGCAGGGGUGAGCGGAACUGAUGGUGGAGCGGUGAAAUGUGUUGAUAUCAUCAGGAACACCGGUGGCGAAGGCGGCUCACUGGGCCUUUACUGACGCUGAGGCACGAAAGCUAGGGGAGCAAACGGGAUUAGAUACCCCGGUAGUCCUAGCUGUAAACGA
Molecule: ribosomal RNA, 721 nt
Filed under: uncultured Planctomycetota bacterium
Lineage: Bacteria; Pseudomonadati; Planctomycetota
Description: bacterial SSU rRNA
Rfam family: Bacterial small subunit ribosomal RNA
Source: RNAcentral